RNAcentral lists this ribosomal RNA (1468 nucleotides) under uncultured bacterium. RNAcentral's name for it is "bacterial SSU rRNA". It matches the Rfam family "Bacterial small subunit ribosomal RNA". The record is from RNAcentral.
AACGAACGCUGGCGGCGUGGCUAAGGCAUGCAAGUCGAACGGUCAUACGCAACGGGUAACUGGAGUGUAUGAUAGUGGCGAACGGGUGAGGAAUACAUGGAUAACGUACCCCAGACACAGGAAUAGCGGCGGGGGCAACCCCUUUGCGAAAGUGCCGGUAAUGCCUGAUGACCCCGAUGGAUCGCAUGAUCUGUCGGGCAAGGGUCAGCCGGUCUGGGAUCGGUUCAUGCCCUAUCAGUUAGUUGGCGGGGUAACGGCCCACCAAGACUAUGACGGGUAUCGGGCGUGAGAGCGUGGCCCGACACAUCGGAACUGAGACACUGUCCGGACACCUACGGGUGGCUGCAGCAACGAGUAUUCCGCAAUGGACGCAAGUCUGACGGAGCGACGCCGCGUGUGGGAGGAAGUCCCUCGGGAUGUAAACCACUGUCAGGGGUGAGGAAUUAAUUGACCAGCCCCAGAGGAAGCACCGGCUAACUCCGUGCCAGCAGCCGCGGUAAUACGGAGGGUGCAAGCGUUGUUCGGAUUUACUGGGCUUAAAGGGUGUGUAGGCGGGUCGACAAGUGUCUGGUGAAAGCCCCGGGCUCAACCCGGGAACGGCUGGGCAUACUGACGAUCUUGAGGCAGGUAGAGGUCACUGGAACAACUGGUGGAGCGGUGAAAUGCGUAGAUAUCAGUUGGAACGCCGGAGGCGAAAGCGGGUGACUGGGCCUGUCCUGACGCUGAAACACGAAAGCGUGGGGAGCAAACGGGAUUAGAUACCCCGGUAGUCCACGCCGUAAACGAUGCGCACUGGGUAUGAUGGGUUUUGACGCCCGUCGUGCCGCAGCAAAAGUGCUAAGUGCGCCGCCUGGGGAGUACGGCCGCAAGGCUAAAACUCAAAGGAAUUGACGGGGGCUCACACAAGCGGUGGAGCAUGUGGAUUAAUUCGAAGCAACGCGAAGAACCUUACCUGGGUUUGACAUGUACGGAUACCGUCCAUGAAAGUGGAGCCGGUUGCCUUCGGGUGAAACGUACACAGGUGCUGCAUGGCUGUCGUCAGCUCGUGCUGUGAAGUGUCGGGUUAAGUCCCUUAACGAGCGAAACCCCUAUCGUUAGUUGCCAUCAGGUAAUGCUGGGAACUCUAGCGAGACCGCCGGCGUCAAGCCGGAGGAGGGCGGGGAUGACGUCAAGUCAUCAUGGCCCUUAUGCCCAGGGUGUCACACGUGCUACAAUGGGGCGUACAGAGCGACGCGAGACCGCAAGGUGGAGCAAAUCGCACAAAACGACCCUCAGUUCAGAUUGAAGUCUGCAACCCGACUUCAUGAAGCUGGAAUCGCUAGUAAUCGCGGAUCAGCCACGCCGCGGUGAAUGUGUUCCUGAGCCUUGUACACACCGCCCGUCAAGUCAUGGGAGCUGGGAGUACCCGAAGUCCGUUUAGCGAACCGCAAGGGAGCGGCGGCCGACGGUAAGCCCGGUGACUGGGACU